Molecule: ribosomal RNA, 156 nt
Filed under: Candida albicans
Lineage: Eukaryota; Fungi; Ascomycota; Pichiomycetes; Serinales; Debaryomycetaceae
Description: 5.8S ribosomal RNA
Source: RNAcentral
AAGGUUUCCGUAGGUGAACCUGCGGAAGGAUCAUUACUGAUUUGCUUAAUUGCACCACAUGUGUUUUUCUUUGAAACAAACUUGCUUUGGCGGUGGGCCCAGCCUGCCGCCAGAGGUCUAAACUUACAACCAAUUUUUUAUCAACUUGUCACACCA